CCAGCAGCUGCGGUAAUUCCAGCUCCAAUAGCGUAUAUUAAAGUUGUUGCAGUUAAAAAGCUCGUAGUUGAACCUUAGGCAAGACGGCCUGGUCACCCACUGGGUGUACUGGGCUCGUCGCGCCUCACCUGCGGGGAACUAGUCGUGCUUCGGUGCGCUAGGGAACCGCGCCUUACUUUGAAGAAAUUAGAGUGUUUAAAGCAGGCUUAUGCUUGAAUACAUCAGCAUGGAAUAACAUGAUAGGACUUUGGUUCUAUUUUGUUGGUUUGAGGACCAAAGUAAUGAUUAAUAGGGCCAGUCGGGGGCAUUAGUAUUCUAUAGUCAGAGGUGAAAUUCUUGGAUUUAUAGAA
RNAcentral lists this ribosomal RNA (350 nucleotides) under uncultured eukaryote. Its description in RNAcentral is "SSU rRNA". It matches the Rfam family "Eukaryotic small subunit ribosomal RNA", at positions 567 to 933 of the family's 1831-position model. The record is from RNAcentral.